Molecule: long non-coding RNA, 7811 nt
Organism: Ruditapes philippinarum (Manila clam)
Lineage: Eukaryota; Metazoa; Mollusca; Bivalvia; Venerida; Veneridae
Exons: 3
Source: RefSeq, a predicted model, not a curated record
UAUUCGCUGCGUUAGCAGUGAAUACAGUUCUAUCACAAUUUGCGGGAUUUCAAUAUAAGAAUGGGUACCUAACAACGCAAAGUAGUUCUACACAGAUUUUCUUGUCACACACAAGUGAUAAGAUUUUGAAUUGUCAGUAGUUCAUUUUUGAUUGUGUUAUUUCUAUCGUAUAUUAUUUGCAUGUUUUCAGGAUAUAAUCAGUAAAAAAUAUCAUUAGUAUUCAUUCGCGUUAACUUUGAGUAAGGAAGUAGUUCGUACCAAAACAAAGUUUUCGACGCUAUUUUUGUAUGUGAAAGCUGAUCUCAUCAUUUUCUAAAAGUAGGUACAGAAAACUUACCAAUAUUAUUUGAACUUAAUGUAAUCUGUUUUGGAAUUCUUAUUUGGAUUUCAUGAUGUGUAACAGUGUUGAUAAUUCAGGUGUCUUGAUAUAUUUUUUGUUGUUUGAGUUGUUUCCCUUGGUUUCCCGCAAUAUCACUAGUUUUGUCUAUGUUUAAGCGGCUUUGUUUGUAAAAAGUUCAAAGUGUUCUUAAUUUAUUGGAAAUAUGGAUUAUUGAUAGUUGAAGUUACAGCAGAGAGAGAGUUUGACAGUAUGCGUGUCUGAAGAAGAUAAUGCUAUUAUUGGUACAUUCAAUUCCACGAACUGAGUGUUGGUUUCCUCGAUUUCAUUGACUCUAUGAUUCAUUCUCUGAUUGAUGAUUGUUGAUUGAAUGUUUUAAUGAUCAAUCAACUUAUUGAUUUACUGAUUGAUUGGACAUGUCAUGGAGCUUAAUAUAGAUGGAGAAGUAACUUAGACGUCAUACAGUUAAAUUCAGUAUUAUUGGGGUUGUUCUAACGCAAGUUAUCAUGUGUUUCGGGAUUUUCCAAGAUUUGAUGCAUCCUGGGUAAUAGUAGCCAAAAUACCGCCAUAUUGAAUUCCAAGAGGAACAUUGACAAAAAAAGACGAAGCAUUUUCUACUUACAUAAGAAGCAAUAGUAAUUUAUGUUAAAACGUAUCAUACACACUUUUCUACACAGAUAUUUUUUUAAAAAAAACAACGUCGGCAAUGUAAACAGUAGUUCAUGGAUAUCGCCAAAGUUUAACGAGAGUGCGAGAAUCGGGGACUAGUGGGAAAACCCGAUUAUCACGGAAGCGCACUGUGGAUCUGAAUCUGACUUUCAACUAUUUUCUGAGCUUCCUAUCCAUUGUAUAUAUAUCUGUGGACAUGUAAGACGAAUAUAUGUGAACUGUAAGAUGUUGAAAUGUGCAAAGUUGUUUGUUUAGAAGAGAAAUACGCAAUUUUUGGAGAAACUUUUUGUUUGAAUGAUCAAGGUAUAAACACUUUUUGUAAAUGAACAUCAGGCUACCAUUUUCAUAGUUAUGGCAGGGCUUCCAUUAAUGGAAGUUUGGGAGUCAUUUCACUCCUUGAAUUUGGCUUGUGACUUCCAAAAUGUAAUGCUUUUUUCUUCUUUACCAAUAUUUUGUGACUUCCAAUGUCAAGACAUUUUGCAGUCUUUGACUUCCAAAUUUUGGAUCUUAAUGGAAGCCCUGAAUGCCAAUGGACCUACAUGUUUCACCUAAAUUGUAUUGGAAAUAUGUGAAAAACUUCCUUUUAAAAAGUUUCUAGCUGAAGUUAAGCAGAGAAAUGCAUUGGAUACCUCAGAAUAUUGCUAUGUUUUUAAAAAAAAUCCAAGCCUUAUGGUCACAUAUUCAUUGUGACUUCCAAAAUGUAAUGCUUUUUUCUUCUUUACCAAUAUUUUGUGACUUCCAAUGUCAAGACAUUUGCAGUCUUUGACUUCCAAAUUUUGGAUCUUAAUGGAAGCCCUGAAUGCCAAUGGACCUACAUGUUUCACCUAAAUUGUAUUGGAAAUAUGUGAAAAACUUCCUUUUAAAAAGUUUCUAGCUGAAGUUAAGCAGAGAAACAGAAUAUUGCUAUGUUGUUAAAAAAUUUCCAAGCCUUAUGGUCACAUAUUCAUGGAAAAAUUCGAAGAAAGGAAAAUAGAUUGUCAGGUGUAUAGAUUUCCAGUCUGCUUAUCAUUUACAUACAAUCUGGAAAACUUCAGUAGUGUCACUGGGGUCAAAAUUAAUCCUGUCUAAUGGUAAUGUUGUAAAAAGUUUAAUGUAUAUAUGUAUUAUAAUAGAAAUUAGAUAUAUGUAUGGAUAUUUUGUGUAAACCAACACGUGAAAACCCUGGAACAUCAUUGCUAAAGCAAUAUUGUUAGGUACAAUACCAUACAUUUAAUAGGCAAGAAAGGUACGGUAAUAAUAUCAUUUACUAUAGAUUUAGAAUGCAAGAAAAGAUAAAAUAUCAUUCCUCGCUUCUUAGUACAAAAAGUUCCAUAUCACUUUUAUAUUUAUGUUUACUGCAUAAAACACUUUCUUACUUUUCAUUUUUAGCUAGACUAUACAAAGUAUAUGGAGAGCCGUCCUACUUGCCCCGGCGUCCGCGUCCUUAUUCAGAUUAAAGUUUUGGUUUUCCAUAUCAUCAACCACAUCUUAUGUGACAAGGUUCAUAACUCUAGCACCACUAUUUUCAGAUUUAUCUCCCCUUGAACUUAGAAUUUUCCUUAAAAAAUAUUAUUUUCUAUCGUUACUUCCUUAUUUCUUAAGGGAUCAACUUCAUACUUCAAAUAUAUGUUCCUUAUCAUCAACCACAUCUUAUGUGACAAGGUUCAUUACUCUAGCACCAAUAUUUUCAAAUUUAUCUCCUCUUGAAGAUAGAAUUUUCCUAAAAAGAGUUAUUUUUAGCUCGACUAUUCAAUAAGAAUAAGUAGAGCUAUUCAAUUGUAGUCACCAGUGCGUCAGUGUUGGUGUCGGCAUCUGUGUCAGCGUAGGUGUAAUAACUUAUGUUAAAGUUUUUGUAAUAUCUCAAAUAUCAAAGUCCAUUGAUAUAUGGCUUUGAAACUUUGCACACUUGUUCACCAUCAUGACCCAACCUGUAGACAGGAGGAGAUAACUGGAUCAAGCAUUUUGACAGAAUUAUGCCCCUUUUCUGACUUAGAUUAUAUGUUAUUUAAUUAAAGUUUGCAUACCACCUCAGAUAUUUUCAUAUACUGUUGACAUCUGGCUAGGAACAAGUUGAAAUUUUAUACUCUUCUUUGAGAGCAUAAUAGGACUCUCUUCAAGGCCUAUAACAGUAACAUGGAUUGAAAGGAAAAUUUGGCCCUAUAACAGUAACAUGGAUUUAAAGGAAAAUUUGGCCCUUUUGUUAACAUUUUACAUUAUCAAGGCUCUUUUUCUAUCAAGCACUUAGAAUGGUAGAGCGUUGCUGUCCUACCGACAGCUAUUAUUUACUGUUACUUAUUUAUUUCUUAAGGGAUCAACUUCAUAUUUCAAAUAUAUGUUCCUUAUCAUUAACCAAAUGUUAUGUGACAAGGUUGUUAACGCUAGCACCAAUAUUGCAAGAAUUACCUCCCCAUGAACUUAGAUUUUUUUUACUUGAAAAAUAUUAUUUUUUACUAUGACUUUUUAGCUCACCUGUCACAAAGUGACAGGGUGAGCUUUUGUGAUCGCUUUUCGUCCGGCGUCCGUCCAUCGUCCGUCCGUAAAAUUUUUCUUUAAAUGACAUCUCCUCAUAAACCACUGAGCCAAUUUCAUCCAAACUUCACAGGAAUGUUCCUUUGGUGGUCACCUUUAAAAAAUGUUCAAAGAAUUUAAUUCCAUGCAGAACUCUGGUUGCCAUGGCAACUGAAAGAAAAAUCUUUAAAUAUCUUCUUUUAAACAACCCUAAGAGCUAGAGCUUAGAUAUUUGGCAUGAAACAUCUUCUAGUGAGUGUCUACCAAGUUUGUUCAAAUAAAAGCCCUUGGGUCAAAAUUGGCCCCGCCCCAGGGGGUCAUUGAUUUUCCCUAUAUGCAUAUAGUAAAAACUUAUAAAAUCUUCUUUUAAAGAACCCAAAGAGCUAGAGCUAAGAUAUUUAGCAUGAAACAUCUUCUAAUGGGUGUCUACCAAGUUUGUUCAAAUAAAAGCCCUAGGGUCAAAAUUGGCCCCGCCCCAGGGGGUCAUUGAUUUUCCCUAUAUGCAUAUAGUAAAAACUUAAUAAAAUCUUCUUUUAAAGAACCCAUAGAGCUAGAGCUUAGAUAUUAAGCAUGAAACAUCUUCUAGUGAGUGUCUACCAAGUUUGUUCAAAUUAAAGCCCUGGGGUCAAAAUUGGCCCCGCCCCAAGGGUCAUUGAUUUCUCUUAUAUGUGUAUUAUACUAUAGCAAAAACUUAAAAAAUCUUCUUUGAAAAAAAACAAAUAGCUAGAGUUUAGAUACUAAGCAUGAAACAUCUUCUAGUGAGUCUCUACCAAGUUUGUUAAAAAAAAAAAAGCCCUGGGGUCAAAAUUGGCCCCGCCCCGGGGGACAUUCAUUUUCCUUAUUUGUGUAUAACAAAAACUUAAAAAAUCUUCUUUGAAGAAACUCAAAUAGCUAGAGUUUAAAUAUUAAGCACGAAGCAUCUUCUAGUAAGUGUCUACAAAGAUUGUUCAAAUAAAAGCCCUGGGGUCAAAAUUGGCCCCGCCCCAGGUGUGUCACUGUUUUUAACUAAAUGUGUAAAGAAAUAACUUGACCAGCUAGACCUUAGAUGUUUAGCAUGAAACAUCUUCUAAUGGGUGUCUACCAGUCUACCAAGUUUGUUCAAAUAAAAGCCCUGGGGUUUAAACUGGCCCCGCUUCAGGGACCUAUAUACAGGUGAGCGACUUCAGGGCCAUCAUGGCCCUCUUGUUUUUGUUUUUUUUUUGUUUUUUUUUUUUAAUUUUGAAAUCAUUCAUUUAUUAUUGUUGAAAUCUACUUAUAAUACCUUUAAAAUACCAUGUUCCCAGUACUUUUUAUUUACAUGCUUAAGUUGUUCUUAACAUACACAAAACAAACUUGUACAUUCCUUUAUUAGAAAUUGUCUUUUUUUAUAUAACCAGGCACAAGUGACAAGAUAAUAUUUAUUUAUAUGCUAUUAUCAUUGUGGACACAAACUGUAAACAAAGGUAUCAUUUUUGAUUCUAGUCAAAGUAAAAACAAACAGUGAUUGCACUAGAGUUAUAUCAGAAAGUUUGUGGGAGCUUUACAUGCUCAUAACAUUUCUAUCUUUGUCAGAGAAAUAUUUGAUUUCUGAGAACUAUUUUGACUUCAAUUUCCAAAGAAACAUGAAACUACACCCCAAAUUUAAAUGCAUAAUAACUAUUACAUUUGUUUGACUUAACUGUUUCUUAUGGUCAAUAGUGUUACAUGUAUAUAAUUUUUGAUGUUCAUUUUACAUUUGCUUGUUUUUCUAUCAUUUCAAUCCAUUGUCUUAAUCAUUAUAUAACUUGAUUAUACCCUGUAGCAUUGUUUUUAGAUUUACAUUGUAUUUGCAAUUUUGUGAACAUUUAUCAGUAAGUAAUAUUCUUAAUAAAAGAAAUUUCACAAUUGAUAUGAAGUACCAAGCCAUUUAUUGAGUGUGUUUCCGAUUUAUGAAAAUGUUUUUAACAAAUGACUUAAAAUUGAGCAAUCACCAUACUUUCUAGCAUAAGAAUCUUGAAAUAAAAUUACUUAAAUUGCAAGCAAGUUGCAAUUUUAUACAUGAGAUAAACUUAUCGUGACCAAAUUUGUUUUUCAUGUUAGCAAGUUCUGUAUAUAUGCUUUAAUUAGAAAAGUACAUGAUUAUGUAUGAAGUAACUGAAAUAUUGAAAGCUUUAUAAUAGAAUGUUUGUCAUGCAACAUUAAAUUGUGUAAGAUUCAGACUAUUAGAUAAGGCGAUGUACUUAUUAAUGCUGUUAUAAUUACAUGUAUUAUUAUUGUGAGUAAAAAGGUUCUGGGGAUAUUUUUAUCAUGUUUUAACCAGGGGCAUAGAUAAUAUACAUUGUUUACUUUUUAUGCUCCCCGAAAAAUUUCGGGGGAGCAUAUAGUCGGCGCCUUGUCUGUCUGUCCGUCUGUCCGUUUUCUUGUCAGGAGCAUAACUUGAAAACCCUUGGAGAUAAUUUGUUUAAACUUCAUACAGUGGUAGAGGGCAUUGAGGGGGAGUGCAGUGUCAAAGAACCAUAACUCUAUUUUGCCCGGUUUUUGAAUUAUCUCCCCUUAUAGAAAAAUCUUGUCCGGGGCAUAACUCUAAAACUAUAAGAGAUAUCAACAUGAAACUUUGUAGGUGAAUAGAUCUCAAUUGGUAGAUGUGCAGUGCAUAAGAACAAUAACUCUUUUUGUCCUAAUUUUGGAGUUAUUGCCCUUUGUUAAUUUCAACACUUUGAACUUUGUCCGGAACAUAACUCUAAAACUAUAAGAGAUAUCAAGAUGAAACAUUGUAGGUAGAUAGAUCUCAUUAAGUAGAAGUGCAGUGCAAAAGAACCAUAACUCUGUUAAGCCUCAUUAUUGAAUUAUCUCCCCUUAUAGAAAAAUCUUGUCUGGGGCAUAACUCGAAAACUAUUAGAGAUAUCAACAUGAAACUUUGUUGGUGAAUAGAUCUCAAUGGGUAGAUGUGCAGUGCAUAAGAACAAUAACUCUUUUUGUCCUUAUUUUGGAGUUAUUGCCCUUUGUUAAUUUUAACACUGAACUUUGUCCGGAACAUAACUCUAAAAAUAUAAGAGAUAUCAAGAUGAAACAUUGUAGGUAGAUAGAUCUCAUUGAGUAGAAGUGCAGUGCAAAAAAAACAUAACUCUGUUAAGCCUCAUUUUUGAAUUAUCUCCCCUUUUAGAAAAAUCUUGUACUGGACAUAGCUGUAAAACUAUAAGAGAUAUUAACAUGAAACUUUGUAGGUAGAUGUAUCUCAAUGCAGUGCACGAGAAUCAUAACUUUGCCUUGCCUAAUUCUGGAGUUACUGCUCUUUGUUUAUUUUUACUUUUUGAAGUUGUGCGGAACAUAACUUGGAAACCAUAAGAGAUAUCAACAAGAAACUUUGUAAGUUGAUAGAUAACAGUGAUUAGAAGUGCAGUGCAAAGAACAAUAACUCCGCCUUUCCUAAUUUUGGAAUUAUUGCACUUUGAACUUUUUCCAGGAACAUAACUCUGAAACUACAAGAGGUGUACUUUCCUGUGUCCAAAACCUAUUCGGGGAGCAUCACCCGGCUCAAACCGGGCUCUGGUUUAUCAAUAUUGCAAUUGGUUUUAAAGCUGUGUUUUCUUAAAUAUGGAUAUUAUUGAAUCAUCCUUGACAUCAGUAUUCUCAUUUUUUUAGCUCACAUUAGCAAAAGCUCAGCUAUUACAGACAGUCAAAGAUUCCUGGUCUGUCCGUCAUCCAUAUUUCAAUAAUGUCAUAUUAAACUACUCAGUUUGAAAACGUCAAAAAUUCUCAUUUACUGUGUGCAAGAACGCUUUAAAUUAAUUUGGUCUUUUGCAUGAUAAGGUCACAGUAGGUAAAAAAAGAUUAGAUAUUACAACCAUCCUUUUCUCUUAUUGUCCCAUUUUGCUUGUUUUGCAUUAUUAAAGCCAUUUCCUCAUGCUCCCAUUCCAUUUGUAAUGUUUCUUUGCAAAAAAGUAAAUAACAGAAUUUUAAAAAAAAGUUUUGACUGUUACAGGCUAAUUAAAAAUAUAAUAGGCAAACUAUUAAAAGUACUUUUUUUGUAUUUUUUUAAUCUCGGAAAUUUUUUAAAUUAAAGUAUUUUACAAAAAUACCUAUAUUUUCUUCUUAAAUUUCAUGAAAUUAACAUGUUCCAAGUUUCACUUUUCAUCAUGUGAAAAACUGAAAUGCUUUAGCUAGGUAAUCUGUCUGUCAUUACAUUUGAAGCUUAUGUAGCAAUAUAGUAUUCUAGGUAUUGUUACUGUAUAUAUAUUCAUUAUAACAUAAUUCUCUCAUCAUGUUAAGGAUCUAGUCAUGAAUGUACUGCAUGCAUUCAUAUUUUGGAUGUAUAUUUUAUUGUACCACUUAGAUAAUGUAAUAAAGUUGUUCUCAUUUA